CCUUCGGGCGGCAGCAGUGGGGAAUAUUGCACAAUGGGGGAGACCCUGAUGCAGCAACGCCGCGUGAAGGAAGACGGUUUUCGGAUUGUAAACUUCUGUUCUUAGUGAAGAAUAAUGACGGUAGCUAAGGAGCAAGCCACGGCUAACUACGUGCCAACAGCCGCGGUAAUACGUAGGUGGCAAGCUUUUACCGGAAUUACUGGGUGUAAAGGGAGCGCAGGCGGGAAGCCAAGUCAGCUGUGAAAACUACGGUCUUAACUUGUAGACUGCAGUUGAAACUGGUUAUCUUGAGUGAAGGAGAGGUUGGCGGAAUGCCGAGUGUAGCGGUGAAAUGCGUAGAUAUCCGGAGGAACACCGGUGGCGAAGGCGGCAAACCGGGCUUUAACUGACGCUGAGGCUCGAAAGUGUGGGGAGCAAACAGGAUUAGAUACCCCUGUAGUC
This 441-nucleotide ribosomal RNA is filed under the name uncultured bacterium. RNAcentral's name for it is "partial 16S ribosomal RNA". It matches the Rfam family "Bacterial small subunit ribosomal RNA", at positions 338 to 795 of the family's 1533-position model. The record is from RNAcentral.